CCUACGGGGGGCAGCAGUGGGGAAUAUUGCACAAUGGGGGAAACCCUGAUGCAGCGACGCCGCGUGAGCGAUGAAGUAUUUCGGUAUGUAAAGCUCUAUCAGCAGGGAAGAAGAUGACGGUACCUGACUAAGAAGCCCCGGCUAACUACGUGCCAGCAGCCACGGUAAUACGUAGGGGGCAAGCGUUAUCCGGAUUUACUGGGUGUAAAGGGAGCGUAGACGGCAGCGCAAGCCAGAUGUGAAAGCCCGGGGCUCAACUCCGGGACUGCGUUUGGAACUGGGUGGCUGGAGUGUCGGAGAGGCAG
RNAcentral lists this ribosomal RNA (305 nucleotides) under uncultured bacterium. RNAcentral's name for it is "bacterial SSU rRNA". It matches the Rfam family "Bacterial small subunit ribosomal RNA", at positions 338 to 660 of the family's 1533-position model. The record is from RNAcentral.